UCGUUAACCUGUUGGGGGCAUAUGAAAUGGAUAUGUGAAUCAAUUCCGCCGGCGGUUACAAUUUUUCCCUCCGCUGCAAUAAUUUCGGUUGCAGGGCCAAUGAUGAUAUCGACAUCGGGCUGAAUAUCGGGAUUGCCAGCUUUACCGAUUUUUUCGAUAAUCCCGUCUUUCAAACCGAUAUCGGCUUUAUAGAUGCCGGUAUAAUCAACAAUAAGGGCAUUGGUGAUAACUGUAUCCAUAGCCCCUUUUUCCCGUGAAUACUGGCUUUGCCCCAUGCCAUCGCGG
The sequence is a small RNA, 285 nucleotides long. It matches the Rfam family "5' ureB small RNA". The record is from Rfam.